Molecule: non-coding RNA, 47 nt
Organism: Phaethon lepturus (White-tailed tropicbird)
Lineage: Eukaryota; Metazoa; Chordata; Aves; Phaethontiformes; Phaethontidae
Source: Rfam
AGAGAGGCUCCUCUCGGAGCCACACCAGAGAUUAAAGAUUAUUUAUU